This 400-nucleotide transfer-messenger RNA is filed under the name Candidatus Nomurabacteria bacterium. It matches the Rfam family "transfer-messenger RNA". From Rfam's summary of the family: Bacterial tmRNA, also known as 10Sa RNA or SsrA, is named for its dual tRNA and mRNA-like properties. Its role is to liberate the mRNA from a stalled ribosome. To accomplish this part of the tmRNA is used as a reading frame that ends in a translation stop signal. Lineage: Bacteria; Candidatus Nomuraibacteriota. RNAcentral also lists the same sequence under 1 other name. The record is from RNAcentral.
GGGGAUGCAAGGCAUAGACAGUGGGUCUAAUGUAAAGAUGCAUGUCGAGCAUGAACAUAAUCUCGUUAAAAUUUGUUCAAAUGUUAAUUGCAAAAUUAACUUCCAAAGCUAGAGCAAUCGCUUCUCCUUACUUCGGUAUGGCAGAAUUUGCUUUCGCUUCAGUUUCCGCUUCGGCGUAAGCUGAUGUCUUUCUCAUAGACUUCCGAUAUAUGAGAGUUAGGCAUAAUAUUAUCGGGAUAGUACCGAUGCUUUCCUGACAUCGGGACAAAAUAAAGGGAAUCGAUUAAAAAAUAUUUUGCUCGUUUAAUAAUUUUUUAAUUUAAAUCAAAAACGCGUCACACAUGUGGAUUUCUUUACAAAAACCUUCUGCACGGGGAUUCAAUUUCCCCCAUCUCCACAU